This 457-nucleotide ribosomal RNA is filed under the name uncultured bacterium. RNAcentral's name for it is "SSU rRNA". It matches the Rfam family "Bacterial small subunit ribosomal RNA", at positions 26 to 518 of the family's 1533-position model. The record is from RNAcentral.
AGAACGAACGCUGGCGGCAUGCCUAACACAUGCAAGUCGAACGCUUUUGGGGCUUCGGUCCCAAAGGAGUGGCGCACGGGUGAGUAGCGCGUGGGAACCUGCCCUGGAGUGGGGGGAUAACCGAGGGAAACUUCGGCUAAUACCGCAUACGCCGGGAAACCGGGAAAGAUUUAUCGCUCUAGGAGGGGCCCGCGUCGGAUUAGGUAGUUGGUGGGGUAACGGCCUACCAAGCCUGUGAUCCGUAGCUGGUCUGAGAGGAUGAUCAGCCACACUGGGACUGAGACACGGCCCAGACUCCUACGGGAGGCAGCAGUGGGGAAUAUUGGACAAUGGGCGCAAGCCUGAUCCAGCAAUGCCGCGUGAGUGAUGAAGGCCUUCGGGUUGUAAAGCUCUUUCGCACGCGAGGAUGAUGACGCUAGCGUGAGAAGAAGCCCGGCUAACUCGUGCCAGCAGCCGC